This is a non-coding RNA of Amborella trichopoda, 2031 nucleotides long. The record is from RefSeq and is a predicted model, not a curated record. NCBI's taxonomy places the organism in Eukaryota, Viridiplantae, Streptophyta, Magnoliopsida, Amborellales, Amborellaceae.
GCGUACCUCGCUUAAGGGUAAAAGUAAGUUACCCACCCCCCACUGCUCAGCGAAGAAGAGGGUGCUUGCUUGCCCCAACUGCCCUAGCCGCAUAGCAGAGACCAUCUCGCGUUUUCUCUUUGCGCGUACGAGCCUCCUUACAAAGUCUUGGCCCUCAUCCCUCCCUUGAAGCCUUCCUCUCUCCACUCGAUCUAAAUUUCACAGUUCUCUCAUUUUCUAAUUCUUUUUUUCAUCUGGUUUCUUCUACUACACAGUAAAGAUAUUAAGGUGGACAUUCUAGUUUUUCCUUAAAUUUAUACCAUCCUCCAAAGAGGGUAUGGAGAAGUUCCCCGUCACGAAUCCAAACCAUUAGAUUAGUUUUACGUUUCACCUUCGUCUCCUUUGCUCCCAAAUGGAAGUCCUCAGGACUCACUCGCCUAACAGUGAUCUCAAAGCCCUAAUCCAUGAAAACUCCCUGUUCUUUGAAAGGCUUGUGGAGCUCAUCCCAGCAAGAUUUUACCUACCCAAUGAAGAUUCGGAAAAGAAAUGGUUUCAGGGCCUUAGCAAGGCAGCCAAGGCUUCUGCAAAGAAGGAAACAAAAGAAAACAUAAAGAAAGCUCGUCGUGCUCGGCUUGAUCCUGAGGCCUCAGCAACAACUCUCGAUCUCCUAAAGCAAAGAAUUGAAAAGGAGAAAACUGAGAAUGCCUCUGAAAAAGAUGAUGAAGAUGAAGAAGGUCCAGUGAAGAAGGCAGAAGUGAAGGAUGAUAAAUCCGUGACCUACGAAGAUCUUCGGGAACGUCUCCACCGACGGAUUGAGGAAUUGAGGGCCCAACGCAAUGCGGGGGAUAAAAAGCCCAAUGCCCAAAAGAAGGAAAAGAGAAAGAAUUCAGGGGAAGGAAAAAGGAAAUGGACUCAAGAACAGGAAGACAAAUCCAUAAAAAGCAACACCCAAGAUGGUGAAUCUUCAAAGAAAAAAAAGAAAGCUUCUGGAGAUUAUGCAUUUACCCAUGUGAAGAUCGGGUCAGGAGAGGAGCAAAACAAGAAGAAGAUGAAGAUUUCAAAGGAACAAGCUUUAGUGAGAGCGAAAAAGCUAGAGGAAGCAGUGAAAGAUCCGAUUAGAGGUCCCAAUGUUGCUUCAAAGCAUUCGUGGGGUGCGGCUGCUAAAAGAGCAGCUGGUAUUAAGGUUCAUGAUGAUCCAAAGCUGAUUAAGCAAAGCAUAAAGAAGGAAAAGAAGAGGCAACAAAAGAAUGUGCAGAAGUGGAAGGGGAGGUUGGAAGCAAGGGAUAAGAUUGUUGAUGCCAAGCAACAAACUAGAGCCAAUAAUAUAGCUCAACGGGCCCAGGAAAAGAAGAAGCGGCGCAUUGAGAAGAGAGAGAAGAAGCUUUUGCGCCCUGGUUUUGAAGGUCGAAAAGUUGGUUUUAUCAAUAAGUGAUGUUCCAUGAUAUUGGGGGAGCCCUUUUUGGAACUUGCGGGGAGAAGAGAUUUAGAUUGUCCAUUGCGUCCCAUCAAAUUCUGCUGCAAAAAUAUUAAUGAAUGGUAUUGAUUAAUUGUGUAACGUGGGAAUUACCUUGCGAAUGUUUAAAGUAUUCCAGAAGGUCACGGAUAACUCAUAAAGGAAGCAGUGGUUCUAAUUUAAUAAUGAUUUGGAGUACCAUGUGAUGUUCAUGAAUGGUGAGACUGAUCAAAGCUUCCGUGCAAAAGGCUUUAAAAAAAAAAAAGCUGUGUACCCCUUCUACCCAUGUUAUGCAGAUUGCUGUGAAAUUUUUGGAGCUGGUUGUUGCGCGCAAUGCAUUUCAGAUGAAUAUGGCUUCCACUGUUCCACUGAUGAGCUUUCUAAUUAUUAUGUGCUGAGGAUACCUUGUUUUGUGUGUUAAAAUAGAAUGUCAGAAAGGAGCUUUGGAAUAUGUUAUUAUCAAUUCAUUAGAAAGCUAUGUGCAUUUCUAAUCAAGUAGUGAAUAAGAAUGCCCUGUUAUGUGCAUUCGUAGCGAACCUUGUAACACUGAGCACUUUCUGCUUGUUGCCAGUUGUGAGCAAUGAAUGGUAUUGCAAUUU